AGCGGGAAUAGCUCAAAUUUGAAAGCUGGCAGCAAUGUCCGCGUUGUAAUCUAGAGAAGUGUUUUCCGUGCUGGACCAUAGAUAUGUUCCUUGGAAUAGGAUGUCAUAGAGGGUGAGAACCCCGUACAUGCUAUGGACGCCCAGUGCUUUGUGAUACACUUUCGAAGAGUCGAGUUGUUUGGGAAUGCAGCUCAAAAUGGGUGGUAAAUUCCAUCUAAAGCUAAAUAUUGGGGAGAGACCGAUAGCAAACAAGUACCGUGAGGGAAAGAUGAAAAGCACUUUGGAAAGAGAGUUAAACAGUACGUGAAAUUGUCAAAAGGGAAGCGCUUCAAGUCAGAUAUGGCUUUGAAUGUUCAGCCUUUAGGUGUAUUCAUUUUUUGUCAGGCCAGCAUCGAUUUUGAACGUCGGAUAAGGGUAGAAAGAACGUAGCAUACUCUCGGGUAUGUGUUAUAGCUUUUUACUGGAUACGACGAUCGGGAUCGAGGUUCGCAGCACACCCUUUUUUGGGCAGGUCUUCGGACACUUUUUGUGCUUAGGAUGCUGGCGUAAUGGCUUGAAGCGACCCG
This 566-nucleotide ribosomal RNA is filed under the name Meira nashicola. Its description in RNAcentral is "eukaryotic LSU rRNA". It matches the Rfam family "Eukaryotic large subunit ribosomal RNA", at positions 97 to 651 of the family's 3401-position model. The record is from RNAcentral. Lineage: Eukaryota; Fungi; Basidiomycota; Exobasidiomycetes; Exobasidiales; Brachybasidiaceae.